UUAAAGACAUUGAAGUCCCCUUAGGAUGGAUCGCCGAAAUAUAAAUUAUUGUCCUUGCAUUCCAUUAAUAUAUAACAAAAAUAGGCUUUAUUUAUUUUAAGAACUGAUCUUUGAACUACUUGCGUUUUGUUCAGUGUGGCGAAAGUGGUUACAAGAGAUCCAUAUUCUGCUUUCGAAAUUUAUGAACCUAGUGGCUCUUCAAUUUCCGGGAAGUCUCAAAGAGAUUCAUCUUCUGCUCUCGAAAUUUAUGAACCUAGUGGCUCUUCAAUUUCCAGGAAGUUUCAAAGAGAUUCAUCUUCUGCUCUUGAAAUUGAUGAACCUAGUGGCUCUUCAAUUUCUGGGAAGUCUCAGAGAGAUCCAUCUUCUGCUCUCGAAAUUGAUGAACCUAGUGGCUCUUCAAUUUCCGCGAAGUCUCAAAGAGAUCCGUCUUCUGCUCUCGAAAUUUAUGAACCUAGUGGCUCUUCAUUUUCCGAGAAGUCUCAAAGAGAUCCAUCUUUUGGUCUCAAAAUGGAUGAACCUAGUGGCUCUUCAAUUUCCGGGAAGUCUCAAAGAGAUCCAUCUUCUGCUCUCGAAAUUAAUGAACCUAGUGGCUCUUCAAUUUCCAAGAAGUCUCAAAGAGAUCCAUCUUCUGCUCUCAAAAUUUAUGAACCUAGUGGCGCUUCAAUUUCCGGGAAGUCUAAAAGAGAUCCAUCUUCUGCUCUCGAAAUUUAUGAACCUAGUGGCUUUACAGAGUUGACAACAUCCAAUGUCAAAAGAUUACUCUACAAAAUGAAAAAUAUUUUCCUACGGUGGCCGUACUUUGAUUGGAUGCAAAUGAUAUUGGUUGUGACUGUAAUAUCAGUCGAUCCUUUGUUUUUCUA
This 860-nucleotide long non-coding RNA is filed under the name Citrus x clementina. RNAcentral's name for it is "Citrus clementina (C. clementina) long non-coding RNA (CCLE_LNC000619)". The record is from RNAcentral. Lineage: Eukaryota; Viridiplantae; Streptophyta; Magnoliopsida; Sapindales; Rutaceae.